UACGUAGGAUGCAAGCGUUGUCCGGAUUUACUGGGCGUAAAGAGUGUCGUAGGCGGUGAUUUAAGUGGCGGGUUAAAGACCACGGCUCAACCGGGGGAAUGCUCGUCAAACUGGAUCACUAGAGUUAGUUUGGGGAUAUUGGAAUUCUUGGUGGAGGGGUGAAAUCCGUUGAUAUCAAGAAGAACGCCAUUGGUGAAGACAAAUAUCUAAAACUUAACUGACGCUGAUGAACGAAAGCUAGGGGAGCGAA
Molecule: ribosomal RNA, 250 nt
Filed under: uncultured bacterium
Lineage: Bacteria
Description: partial 16S ribosomal RNA
Rfam family: Bacterial small subunit ribosomal RNA
Source: RNAcentral